This 540-nucleotide ribosomal RNA is filed under the name uncultured bacterium. Its description in RNAcentral is "bacterial SSU rRNA". It matches the Rfam family "Bacterial small subunit ribosomal RNA", at positions 777 to 1317 of the family's 1533-position model. The record is from RNAcentral.
AAUAGAUACCCAGGUAGUCCAUGCCGUAAACGUUGGGCACUAGGUGUGGGACCCCCUCAACGGGUUCCGUGCCGUAGCUAACGCAUUAAGUGCCCCGCCUGGGGAGUACGGCCGCAAGGCUAAAACUCAAAGGAAUUGACGGGGGCCCGCACAAGCAGCGGAGCAUGUUGCUUAAUUCGAGGCAACGCGAAGAACCUUACCUGGGUUUGACAUGUACGGAAAAGCCACAGAGAUGUGGUGUCCUUUUGGGCCGUACACAGGUGGUGCAUGGUUGUCGUCAGCUCGUGUCGUGAGAUGUUGGGUUAAGUCCCGCAACGAGCGCAACCCUUGUCCUAUGUUGCCAGCGGGUAAUGCCGGGGACUCGUAGGAGACUGCCGGGGACAACUCGGAGGAAGGUGGGGAUGACGUCAAAUCAUCAUGCCCCUUAUGUCCAGGGCUGCAAACAUGCUACAAUGGCCAGUACAAAGGGCUGCUAUACCGCGAGGUUGAGCGAAUCCCACAAAGCUGGUCUCAGUUCGGAUUGGAGUCUGCAACUCGACU